AGUGAACGCUGGCGGUAGGCCUAACACAUGCAAGUCGAACGGCAGCACAGUAAGUGCUUGCUCUUACCGGUGGCGAGUGGCGGACGGGUGAGGUAUGCAUCGUAAUCUACUUUUUCGGGGGGGAUCACGUAGCUAGACCUACUCUAAUACCGCAUACGACCUUCGGUUGUAAGCAGGGGAUCUUUUCACCUUGCGCGAUUGAAUGCGCCGAUGUCGGGUUUGUUAGUUGGCGGGGUAAAGGCCCACCAAGGCGAGGAUCCGUAGCUGGUCUGAGAGGAUGGUCGGCCACACUGGAACUGGGACACGGUCCAGAGUCCUACGGGAGGCAGCAGUGGGGAAUAUUGGACAAUGGGCGCAAGCCUGAUCCAGCCAUAGCGCGUGGGUGAAGAAGGCCUUCGGGUUGUAAAGCCGUCCUGUGGGGAGAGAAAAGCAGCAGGUUAAUACGCCGCUGUUGUGACGGUACCGAAAGAAUAAGCACCGGCUAACUACGUG
This 492-nucleotide ribosomal RNA is filed under the name uncultured bacterium. RNAcentral describes it as "partial 16S ribosomal RNA". It matches the Rfam family "Bacterial small subunit ribosomal RNA", at positions 29 to 507 of the family's 1533-position model. The record is from RNAcentral.